UACAGAGGUCCCAAGCGUUGUUCGGAUUCACUGGGCGUAAAGGGUGCGCAGGUGGUUUGGCAAGUUCGAUGUGAAAGCCCCGGGCCUAACCCGGGAAUGGCAUUGAAAACUGCUGGACUGGAGGGUCGGAGGGGGGACUGGAAUUCUUGGUGUAGCAGUGAAAUGCGUAGAUAUCAAGAGGAACACCAGUGGCGAAGGCGAGUCCCUGGACGAUACCUGACACUGAGGCACGAAAGCCAAGGGAGCAAAC
This 250-nucleotide ribosomal RNA is filed under the name uncultured bacterium. RNAcentral's name for it is "partial 16S ribosomal RNA". It matches the Rfam family "Bacterial small subunit ribosomal RNA", at positions 524 to 773 of the family's 1533-position model. The record is from RNAcentral.